AUCUAACUGACGAUUCCCAAAUACAACGAAACGCGUGUCUUGGAU
Molecule: non-coding RNA, 45 nt
Filed under: Schistosoma mansoni
Lineage: Eukaryota; Metazoa; Platyhelminthes; Trematoda; Strigeidida; Schistosomatidae
Source: RNAcentral